CCUACGGGCCGCAGCAGUGGGGAAUAUUGGGCAAUGGGCGCAAGCCUGACCCAGCAACGCCGCGUGAAGGAAGAAGGCUUUCGGGUUGUAAACUUCUUUUAUGAGGGACGAAACAAAUGACGGUACCUCAUGAAUAAGCCACGGCUAACUACGUGCCAGCAGCCGCGGUAAUACGUAGGUGGCAAGCGUUAUCCGGAUUUACUGGGUGUAAAGGGCGUGUAGGCGGGACUGCAAGUCAGAUGUGAAAAUUAUGGGCUCAACCCAUAACCUGCAUUUGAAACUGUAGUUCUUGAGUGAUGGAGAGG
This 305-nucleotide ribosomal RNA is filed under the name uncultured bacterium. RNAcentral describes it as "bacterial SSU rRNA". It matches the Rfam family "Bacterial small subunit ribosomal RNA", at positions 338 to 657 of the family's 1533-position model. The record is from RNAcentral.